This 2891-nucleotide ribosomal RNA is filed under the name Serratia marcescens. Its description in RNAcentral is "bacterial LSU rRNA". It matches the Rfam family "Bacterial large subunit ribosomal RNA". Lineage: Bacteria; Pseudomonadati; Pseudomonadota; Gammaproteobacteria; Enterobacterales; Yersiniaceae. The record is from RNAcentral.
ACUAAGCGUACACGGUGGAUGCCCUGGCAGUCAGAGGCGAUGAAGGACGUGCUAAUCUGCGAAAAGCGUCGGUAAGGUGAUAUGAACCGUUAUAGCCGGCGAUGUCCGAAUGGGGAAACCCAGUGCAAUUCGUUGCACUAUCGUUAACUGAAUACAUAGGUUAACGAGGCGAACCGGGGGAACUGAAACAUCUAAGUACCCCGAGGAAAAGAAAUCAACCGAGAUUCCCCCAGUAGCGGCGAGCGAACGGGGAGCAGCCCAGAGUCUGAAUCAGCUUGUGUGUUAGUGGAACGGUCUGGAAAGUCCGACGGUACAGGGUGAUAGUCCCGUACACCAAAAUGCACAGGCUGUGAACUCGAAGAGUAGGGCGGGACACGUGGUAUCCUGUCUGAAUAUGGGGGGACCAUCCUCCAAGGCUAAAUACUCCUGACUGACCGAUAGUGAACCAGUACCGUGAGGGAAAGGCGAAAAGAACCCCGGCGAGGGGAGUGAAAAAGAACCUGAAACCGUGUACGUACAAGCAGUGGGAGCACCUUCGGGUGUGACUGCGUACCUUUUGUAUAAUGGGUCAGCGACUUAUAUUCUGUAGCAAGGUUAACCGUAUAGGGGAGCCGCAGGGAAACCGAGUCUUAACUGGGCGUUAAGUUGCAGGGUAUAGACCCGAAACCCGGUGAUCUAGCCAUGGGCAGGUUGAAGGUUGGGUAACACUAACUGGAGGACCGAACCGACUAAUGUUGAAAAAUUAGCGGAUGACUUGUGGCUGGGGGUGAAAGGCCAAUCAAACCGGGAGAUAGCUGGUUCUCCCCGAAAGCUAUUUAGGUAGCGCCUCGUGAAUUCAUCUUCGGGGGUAGAGCACUGUUUCGGCUAGGGGGUCAUCCCGACUUACCAACCCGAUGCAAACUACGAAUACCGAAGAAUGUUAUCACGGGAGACACACGGCGGGUGCUAACGUCCGUCGUGAAGAGGGAAACAACCCAGACCGCCAGCUAAGGUCCCAAAGUCAUGGUUAAGUGGGAAACGAUGUGGGAAGGCACAGACAGCCAGGAUGUUGGCUUAGAAGCAGCCAUCAUUUAAAGAAAGCGUAAUAGCUCACUGGUCGAGUCGGCCUGCGCGGAAGAUGUAACGGGGCUAAACCAUGCACCGAAGCUGCGGCAGCGACACUAUGUGUUGUUGGGUAGGGGAGCGUUCUGUAAGCCUGCGAAGGUGACCUGUGAGGGUUGCUGGAGGUAUCAGAAGUGCGAAUGCUGACAUAAGUAACGAUAAAGCGGGUGAAAAGCCCGCUCGCCGGAAGACCAAGGGUUCCUGUCCAACGUUAAUCGGGGCAGGGUGAGUCGACCCCUAAGGCGAGGCCGAAAGGCGUAGUCGAUGGGAAACAGGUUAAUAUUCCUGUACUUGGUGUUACUGCGAAGGGGGGACGGAGAAGGCUAUGUUAGCCGGGCGACGGUUGUCCCGGUUUAAGCAUGUAGGCUGGUUGUCCAGGCAAAUCCGGAUAAUCAAGGCUGAGGUGUGAUGACGAGGCACUACGGUGCUGAAGUAACAAAUGCCCUGCUUCCAGGAAAAGCCUCUAAGCAUCAGGUAACAUUAAAUCGUACCCCAAACCGACACAGGUGGUCAGGUAGAGAAUACCAAGGCGCUUGAGAGAACUCGGGUGAAGGAACUAGGCAAAAUGGUGCCGUAACUUCGGGAGAAGGCACGCUGGUGUGUAGGUGAAGUCCCUGCGGAUGGAGCUGAGACCAGUCGAAGAUACCAGCUGGCUGCAACUGUUUAUUAAAAACACAGCACUGUGCAAACACGAAAGUGGACGUAUACGGUGUGACGCCUGCCCGGUGCCGGAAGGUUAAUUGAUGGGGUUAUCCGUAAGGAGAAGCUCUUGAUCGAAGCCCCGGUAAACGGCGGCCGUAACUAUAACGGUCCUAAGGUAGCGAAAUUCCUUGUCGGGUAAGUUCCGACCUGCACGAAUGGCGUAAUGAUGGCCAGGCUGUCUCCACCCGAGACUCAGUGAAAUUGAACUCGCUGUGAAGAUGCAGUGUACCCGCGGCAAGACGGAAAGACCCCGUGAACCUUUACUAUAGCUUGACACUGAACAUUGAGCCUUGAUGUGUAGGAUAGGUGGGAGGCUUUGAAGCGUGGACGCCAGUCUGCGUGGAGCCAACCUUGAAAUACCACCCUUUAAUGUUUGAUGUUCUAACGUUGGCCCCUUACCGGGGUUGCGGACAGUGUCUGGUGGGUAGUUUGACUGGGGCGGUCUCCUCCCAAAGCGUAACGGAGGAGCACGAAGGUUAGCUAAUCCUGGUCGGACAUCAGGAGGUUAGUGCAAUGGCAUAAGCUAGCUUGACUGCGAGCGUGACGGCGCGAGCAGGUGCGAAAGCAGGUCAUAGUGAUCCGGUGGUUCUGAAUGGAAGGGCCAUCGCUCAACGGAUAAAAGGUACUCCGGGGAUAACAGGCUGAUACCGCCCAAGAGUUCAUAUCGACGGCGGUGUUUGGCACCUCGAUGUCGGCUCAUCACAUCCUGGGGCUGAAGUAGGUCCCAAGGGUAUGGCUGUUCGCCAUUUAAAGUGGUACGCGAGCUGGGUUUAGAACGUCGUGAGACAGUUCGGUCCCUAUCUGCCGUGGGCGCUGGAGAAUUGAGGGGGGCUGCUCCUAGUACGAGAGGACCGGAGUGGACGCAUCACUGGUGUUCGGGUUGUCAUGCCAAUGGCACUGCCCGGUAGCUAAAUGCGGAAGAGAUAAGUGCUGAAAGCAUCUAAGCACGAAACUUGCCCCGAGAUGAGUUCUCCCUGAGACUUUAAGUCUCCUGAAGGAACGUUAAAGACGAUGACGUUGAUAGGCCGGGUGUGUAAGCGCAGCGAUGCGUUGAGCUAACCGGUACUAAUGAACCGUGAGGCUUAACC